RNAcentral lists this small nucleolar RNA (62 nucleotides) under Echeneis naucrates (live sharksucker). RNAcentral's name for it is "Small nucleolar RNA SNORD44 (ENSENLG00000006178.1)". It matches the Rfam family "Small nucleolar RNA SNORD44". From Rfam's summary of the family: U44 belongs to the C/D class of snoRNA which contain the C (UGAUGA) and D (CUGA) box motifs. Most of the members of the box C/D family function in directing site-specific 2'-O-methylation of substrate RNAs. Lineage: Eukaryota; Metazoa; Chordata; Actinopteri; Carangiformes; Echeneidae. The record is from Rfam by way of RNAcentral.
CCUGUAUGAUGACCAACUAAGGACUGACUGCAAAUAAUGGAGUCAAUUAGCUCUAACUGAUC